CACAAGAGUCCUUGAGCCGGCCACUUCUGAAGACAUUUGCUGCAGACAAGAUUCACUCAGAGUAAGGGCGGUCGUUUGCUAUGAGGAGACCAAGAUUUUCCAGGUGAGAAGUAAUUGAAAUCUCGCCCCCAGCUCCCUGGGAGUCUAAGUUGGGGUCGGCUGAGCCAAACCCCAGCGACAGAGAGCAGGUUAAGUAAGAUUAAGGGGUAGGUGGGCGGACGGCUGCCAGCAUAACGGACGCCAACUGGGGCCCGUGUGUCCUCCUGUCUCGCGGGUCCGACUCAGCACUGGACGCGCAGCAAAUCAGUCCUCUGUCGUCAAGGGCUUUGCAACGAGUAGAUAUUGUUGAAUAAUCAUUAGGACCAGGUGCCUCCAUGCUCUGUUUCUCCCCAGACAAUCAUGAAAAGCCUUUACCCAGCACCCCCGAGACGAACUCUCCUUUCACAAAUCCUAACUCAGGAGCGCACCUCCUGUUCCAAGCACCUGCCUCCACCUUCCAGGUGAGCUAUGACAUUGUCCCAGUGGCCCCCGUAGGUGCGGGCUGCUCUGUGACUGCUUCUGGAUCACUGUCCCCUCAGCGCCCCCCCUCCACCCCGUGAGUGAGUUACCCUCUAAUGCACUGGCCCAGGGUCAUUCGGAGCGGCCGGCCUCGUUUUCGGGCUCAGUAUGCCUUCGCAGUUGGUGGCUCUUCCAUUCCCUACCUCCUCCGACGGCGGCGCUGCACCCCGCCUCCUGGCAGGGCCUGAUUUGAGAAGAGAGCUGGUGUUUACUCAGGCUUUGGCUCGGGAGGAAAGCCCCUCGGUUUCCACCUACCCUGCAACUGUGCUAUGCUUGGCGGUACGAGAGCCGGGAACACGAGGUCUCAUUGGUCAUGAGACAUCACCGCAGCUGGGACGGGGCCCUGAAUCAGCAGGGCCAUCCCUGCAACACAGAUAAAUUCCACCAGUCAGACUCAGUGGGACCGGCCCUCACUAAGAACCCGGCCUGGGGACACAGGAGCCGCUGCACCUGGGGCAGAUUUCGGACGUUUCCCGGGACCUGCAGGGAGAAGGGAGCCUUGGGAGGAACUUUUCCGAGGUCUCUUCCGAAUCAGCACCAUGAAGUUAUUUUGCCUUUUCGUCUUUGUGGCCUUCUUCACCUGCCAAGUGAUGCCAGGUUAUGAGCACAGCGAAACGCUUCGUUUCUGUGACUCACAUACAAGUGUGUGCCUGAGGAGAAAGAGAAAUUGCAUUAUUCGCAGGCCAGGGCUAUGCCCUGGGAGGAGCUUCUGCUGCACAAGGAUAAAGUGAGCUGAAAAAUCCACGUUUGGUGGAACGACCCUGAAUGGGGUGCAUUGGCGAGUUCACGUUUAAUGGAUUAUCCUUGAA
Vicugna pacos (alpaca) is the source of this 1367-nucleotide non-coding RNA. Lineage: Eukaryota; Metazoa; Chordata; Mammalia; Artiodactyla; Camelidae. The record is from RefSeq and is a predicted model, not a curated record.